AUUACUUUGCUAGUGUGUGAGAUGAGUGCAAUUGUGCAUAGUUUGAGCAUUCUUUGACAUUGCCCUUCUUUGGGAUUGGAAUGAAGCUGAUCUUCUCCAGUCUUGUGGUCACUACUGAGAUUUCCAAACUUGCUGGCAUAUUCGGUGUAGCACUUUCACAGCAUCAUCUUUUAGGAUUUGCAACAGUUCAACUGGAACUCCAUCACAUCCACUAGCUUUGUUCGUAGUGAUGCUUCCUAAGGCACUCUUGAUUUCAUACUCGAGGAUGUCUGACUGUAGAUGAACGAUGACACCAUCAUGGUUAUCUGGUCAUUAAGGCCUUUAUUGUACAGUUCUGUGUAUUCU
Molecule: long non-coding RNA, 345 nt
Organism: Cervus elaphus (red deer)
Lineage: Eukaryota; Metazoa; Chordata; Mammalia; Artiodactyla; Cervidae
Exons: 3
Source: RefSeq, a predicted model, not a curated record